GGAAUAUUGCACAAUGGGCGCAAGCCUGAUGCAGCCAUGCCGCGUGUGUGAAGAAGGCCUUCGGGUUGUAAAGCACUUUCAGUAAGGAGGAAAGGUUAAGUUUUAAUAGAGCUUAGCUGUGACGUUACUUACAGAAGAAGCACCGGCUAACUCCGUGCCAGCAGCCGCGGUAAUACGGAGGGUGCGAGCGUUAAUCGGAAUUACUGGGCGUAAAGCGUACGCAGGCUGUUUGUUAAGCGAGAUGUGAAAGCCCCGGGCUCAACCUGGGAACUGCAUUUCGAACUGGCAAACUAGAGUGUGAUAGAGGGUGGUAGAAUUUCAGGUGUAGCGGUGAAAUGCGUAGAGAUCUGAAGGAAUACCGAUGGCGAAGGCAGCCACCUGGGUCAACACUGACGCUCAUGUACGAAAGCGUGGGGAGCAAAC
RNAcentral lists this ribosomal RNA (423 nucleotides) under uncultured bacterium. RNAcentral describes it as "bacterial SSU rRNA". It matches the Rfam family "Bacterial small subunit ribosomal RNA", at positions 358 to 773 of the family's 1533-position model. The record is from RNAcentral.